Molecule: ribosomal RNA, 251 nt
Filed under: uncultured bacterium
Lineage: Bacteria
Description: partial 16S ribosomal RNA
Rfam family: Bacterial small subunit ribosomal RNA
Source: RNAcentral
UACAGAGACUGCAAGCGUUAUUCGGAUUCACUGGGCGUAAAGGGCGCGUAGGCGGUGCCACAAGUCACCUGUGAAAUCUCCGGGCUUAACUCGGAGCCUGCAGGCGAAACUGUGGUGCUGGAGUGUGGGAGAGGUGCGUGGAAUUCCCGGUGUAGCGGUAGAAAUGCGUAGAUAUCGGAGGAACACCUGUGGCGAAAGCGGCGCACUGGACCAUAACUGACGCUGAUGCGCGAAAGCUAGGGAGCAACAGG